AGUACUAAUAGCUAUAAUUAUAAAAACCUCUUCUUCACUUGCAAUACAGAAUUCCAGCUCAGAAUCAAUCAACAAUUAAAAGAACUCAUUACAAAGUUCAAUUCAAACAAGCUUUUUAAAUCAAUAAAUGAAAAAUAUAAAUAAUAAGUGAUACAAAAAAAUCAAAGCAAAGAAGGUAUUGUGAAUGAAUAAAUAAAAAUAAACAUGAGAAAAUAAAAACAAAAUCAAAAAUAAAAAUAAAAAUAAUAAUAAUAAACUUUUGUAAUAGAAUUAAUGGAAGCUUCUAUAUUAGAAAAUAGCU
This 301-nucleotide small RNA is filed under the name Histoplasma capsulatum var. duboisii H88. Its description in RNAcentral is "Histoplasma capsulatum H88 hypothetical RNA". The record is from RNAcentral. Lineage: Eukaryota; Fungi; Ascomycota; Eurotiomycetes; Onygenales; Ajellomycetaceae.